AUAUCACGUCGAAAUACCGGUUCUCGUACGAUCACUGAAGUUAAGCAAUAUCGAGCCUGGUCAGUACCUAGACGGUUGACUGCUUGGGAAUAUCAAGUGCUGUCA
Molecule: non-coding RNA, 105 nt
Organism: Acanthosepion pharaonis
Lineage: Eukaryota; Metazoa; Mollusca; Cephalopoda; Sepiida; Sepiidae
Source: the annotation of a GenBank genome assembly